AUACGUAGGAUCCGAGCGUUAUCCGGAUUUAUUGGGUUUAAAGGGUGCGCAGGCGGCCAUUUAAGUCAGCGGUUAAAUCGUGGGGCUCAACCCCAUUCUGCCGUUGAUACUGGGUGGCUUGAUUGCGGUCGAGGUUGGCGGAAUUCGUUGAGUAGCGGUGAAAUGCAUAGAUAUGACGAAGAACACCGAUUGCGUAGGCAGCUGACCAGACCGCAAAUGACGCUCAUGCACGAAAGUGCGGGGAUCGAACAGGAUUAGAUACCCUGGUAGUCCGCACAGUAAACGAUGAAUACUUGUUUUCGGCGAUAUAAUGUCGGAGGCAAAGCGAAAGCGAUAAGUAUUCCACCUGGGGAGUACGCCGUCAACGGUGAAACUCAAAUGAAUUGGCGGGG
Molecule: ribosomal RNA, 392 nt
Filed under: uncultured bacterium
Lineage: Bacteria
Description: partial 16S ribosomal RNA
Rfam family: Bacterial small subunit ribosomal RNA
Source: RNAcentral